CAGGCCCGUAUGAGCUCGUGCCGUGAGGUGUUAGGUUAAGUCCUGCAACGAGCGCAACCCCUGUCACUAGUUGCCAUCAUUAAGUUGGGGACUCUAGUGAGACUGCCUACGCAAGUAGAGAGGAAGGUGGGGAUGACGUCAAAUCAUCACGGCCCUUACGCCUUGGGCCACACACGUAAUACAAUGGCCAGUACAGAGGGCAGCUACACAGCGAUGUGAUGCAAAUCUCGAAAGCUGGUCUCAGUUCGGAUUGGAGUCUGCAACUCGACUCUAUGAAGCUGGAAUCGCUAGUAAUCGCGCAUCAGCCAUGGCGCGGUGAAUACGUUCCCGGGCCUUGUACACACCGCCCGUCAAGCCAUGGAAGUCUGGGGUACCUGAAGUCGGUGACCGUAACAGGAGCUUCCUUU
Molecule: ribosomal RNA, 407 nt
Filed under: bacterium 14S531
Lineage: Bacteria
Description: bacterial SSU rRNA
Rfam family: Bacterial small subunit ribosomal RNA
Source: RNAcentral